GGGCCACACAGUGUGCAGCUCGGCUGCCCCAACCGGGAGACGCGGCGACACGGAGCCGUGGAGAGAGGCAGCCAUGCGAAGUGGGGGACGGGGUCCUAACCCUUCCCCGACCUUGAGGCGGAUCUGCCUCUCGCUGCGGGGACUGCGGCCUCGGUGAUCCCACCCGAAGUUUGUCCCGCCGCAAUUCCGGAGCCCCUGGCCUCGUCGCAGGGUCACAUGGUGUCUGCGAUCCAGUUCUGGUUGGAGAGGAAGCCCAAACGAAGGGGACAGUUCGUGUGGACUGAGAUCCCAAGUCUCUGCCUGGGCAGCAGCCCCGCCCCUCCUGCAAAUCAUUUACCGGGAAAUUGGAUUGGACUUUAUCCAGAGUAACUUAAUGCCCCUUGAUGUGUCCUGUUUCACAACUGGACACAUGUUCUUGCGUUUACAAGGAAGUCAGUAAACUGAAUGGUACUUUUAUGGAAAUUUUGAAUUUGCCUGUCAUUGACACACUUUCCCUUGCACAAGGCUAAAACAUAAAUACGUUCUUCAUUUAAAAAUAAAGAAUGAUCCUAUUUAAAAUUAGUAAAAAGU
Molecule: long non-coding RNA, 570 nt
Filed under: Felis catus (domestic cat)
Lineage: Eukaryota; Metazoa; Chordata; Mammalia; Carnivora; Felidae
Description: lncRNA (ENSFCAG00000048492.1)
Source: RNAcentral